Oncorhynchus kisutch (coho salmon) is the source of this 1244-nucleotide long non-coding RNA. RefSeq lists it as uncharacterized. NCBI's taxonomy places the organism in Eukaryota, Metazoa, Chordata, Actinopteri, Salmoniformes, Salmonidae. The transcript has 3 exons. The record is from RefSeq and is a predicted model, not a curated record.
CGAGAAUGAGAUAUAAGCCAAGUGUUGAGGGUGAGGGCCGCAUUUGAGAGGACGGGUACCAAGGAGCAAGAUCGCUAGCAAUCUCACUAACAACACUGAAGAUGACCGCCGAAUCGGACCGAGAAACAUGGUGGAUCCCCUGAAAUGUCAAAUUUGACGCCAACAUACAGCAUGCCCAACCGAAGGUCAGUGCACAGCCCUGGAGGAGAGGUAGACACAUCCACCGGGAAGGAGAGAGGGGAAAGGUAGACUCAUCCACAGGCCAGGAGAGAGAGGGGAUCUGUUCAUGAUGUCAGGUGGACAGCAUGAUUUGAUAGCACUAUAACGCUCCUCACUUGCAGAUAAAUUCCAUCACUUUGUCAAGGACAUUUUGAGAUGCAAUGCUACACAUAGUCACUUCUUAUAAUGCAGAUGCAUCUCCAUAAACAGAGUACGCUAUUUAUCCACAUACAGAGUACGCUAACAUCGACGGGGCUGUAGGGGAGCGUUUCAAGUUCCUUGGUGUCCACAUCACCAACGAACUAUCAUGGUCCAAACAUACCAAGACAGUCGUGAAGAGGGCAUGACAAAACCUUUUCCCCCUCAGGAGAGUGAAAAGAUUUGGCAUGGGCCCCCAAUCCUCAAAUGGUUCAACAGCUGCAGCAUCGAGAGCAUACUGUUGCAUCACCGCCUGGUAUGGAAACUGCUCGGCAUCUGACCGUAAGGUGCUACAGAGGGUAGUGGGAACAGCCCAGUACAUCACUGGGGCCAAGCUGCCUCCCAUCCAGGACCUAUUUAAUAGGUGUCAGAGACUCCAGUCACUCAAAUUAUAGACCGUUUUCUCUGCUACCGCAUGGCAAGCGGAACCAGAGCACCAAGUCCAGCACCAAAAGACUCCUCAACAGCUUCUACCCCCAAGCCAUUAGACUGCUGACCAAUUCCUAAAAAUUGCCACCGGACAAUUUACAUUGACCCCAAAACCCCCUGUAUAUGGCCCCUUUAUUUUUAUUCAUAUUGUGUUACUUUUUAUUAUUACUUUUUAUUUUACCCAACUUGGUAAAUAUUUUCUUCUCUUGAAUUGUUAGUUCAAUUUUGGGAUCGGUGUCCCUUCCACUAGACGGUUGAGCUAACAUAGGCUAAUGCGAUUAGCAUGAGGUUAUAAGUAACAAGAACCUUUCCCAGGACAUAGACAUAUCUGAUAUUGGCAGAAAGCUUAAAUUCUUGUUAAUCUAACUGCGCUGUUAUUAAUAAACAAAUAAGGCACA